This is a long non-coding RNA of Carcharodon carcharias (great white shark), 243 nucleotides long. RefSeq lists it as uncharacterized. NCBI's taxonomy places the organism in Eukaryota, Metazoa, Chordata, Chondrichthyes, Lamniformes, Lamnidae. The record is from RefSeq and is a predicted model, not a curated record. The transcript is spliced from 3 exons.
ACAUGUACCAAAACCCAUUGCAGAUGUCAAGAAUCAGGAAGACCUUAGCACCAUACAGUCGGAACCAUCCAAAGUCUCCGAUUUAAGUUGGAGUGUUGGAGGACUCAAGGAGCCCUAUGAUGCUGGAGACCUCAGGAGGAGGCCAAGCCCUGAUUCCACCUAUGAAGCUAACCUGUUAAAGCAAUCUGCGGAAAUUUGACAGUAGAACAUCGCAGCUGCAGAGAGGACUCUACAACAUCAAGA